Molecule: long non-coding RNA, 241 nt
Organism: Sander lucioperca (pikeperch)
Lineage: Eukaryota; Metazoa; Chordata; Actinopteri; Perciformes; Percidae
Exons: 3
Source: RefSeq, a predicted model, not a curated record
UUUAAUGUAAAUAAACAGAAACAAGUGACCUAACAAAGAGCCACUUUGAUCAUAAAUCCAGCCAAUAAUACACAAGUAUCUACGGCAACGGGACACCAGCUACCAACCAGAUCCACUGGUUUCCAUCUGGAUCUGAAGUCACACAGGAAACAAAAUAAAUACAUAUCUUUGCUCGAACUUUAAAUUAAGAUUCUGACUCGACCGUCAAACUAACUUCCCUGUUUUCCGGAUGUUUUUGUAA